AGAGUUUGAUCCUGGCUCAGGAUGAACGCUAGCUACAGGCUUGACACAUGCAAGUCCGAGGGGCAGCAUCAUCAAAGCUUGCUUUGAUGGAUGGCGACCGGCGCACGGGUGAGUAACACGUAUCCAACCUGCCGACAACACUGGGAUAGCCUUUCGAAAGAAAGAUUAAUACCGGAUGGCAUAGUUUUCCCGCAUGGGAUAAUUAUUAAAGAAUUUCGGUUGUCGAUGGGGAUGCGUUCCAUUAGGCAGUUGGCGGGGUAACGGCCCACCAAACCAACGAUGGAUAGGGGUUCUGAGAGGAAGGUCCCCCACAUUGGAACUGAGACACGGUCCAAACUCCUACGGGAGGCAGCAGUGAGGAAUAUUGGUCAAUGGACGAGAGUCUGAACCAGCCAAGUAGCGUGAAGGAUGACUGCCCUAUGGGUUGUAAACUUCUUUUAUACGGGAAUAAAGUUAGCCACGUGUGGCUUUUUGUAUGUACCGUAUGAAUAAGGAUCGGCUAACUCCGUGCCAGCAGCCGCGGUAAUACGGAGGAUCCGAGCGUUAUCCGGAUUUAUUGGGUUUAAAGGGAGCGUAGGCGGGUUGUUAAGUCAGUUGUGAAAGUUUGCGGCUCAACCGUAAAAUUGCAGUUGAUACUGGUGACCUUGAGUGCAACAGAGGUAGGCGGAAUUCGUGGUGUAGCGGUGAAAUGCUUAGAUAUCACGAAGAACUCCGAUUGCGAAGGCAGCUUACUGGAUUGUAACUGACGCUGAUGCUCGAAAGUGUGGGUAUCAAACAGGAUUAGAUACCCUGGUAGUCCACACAGUAAACGAUGACAUACUCGCUGUUGGCGCAUAUACGGUCAGCGGCCAAGCGAAAGCAUUAAGUAUUCCA
This 873-nucleotide ribosomal RNA is filed under the name uncultured bacterium. RNAcentral describes it as "bacterial SSU rRNA". It matches the Rfam family "Bacterial small subunit ribosomal RNA", at positions 8 to 871 of the family's 1533-position model. The record is from RNAcentral.